Molecule: transfer RNA, 69 nt
Filed under: Ictidomys tridecemlineatus (thirteen-lined ground squirrel)
Lineage: Eukaryota; Metazoa; Chordata; Mammalia; Rodentia; Sciuridae
Description: Spermophilus tridecemlineatus (thirteen-lined ground squirrel) tRNA
Rfam family: tRNA
About the family: Transfer RNA (tRNA) molecules are approximately 80 nucleotides in length. Their secondary structure includes four short double-helical elements and three loops (D, anti-codon, and T loops). Further hydrogen bonds mediate the characteristic L-shaped molecular structure. tRNAs have two regions of fundamental functional importance: the anti-codon, which is responsible for specific mRNA codon recognition, and the 3' end, to which the tRNAs corresponding amino acid is attached (by aminoacyl-tRNA synthetases). tRNAs cope with the degeneracy of the genetic code in two manners: having more than one tRNA (with a specific anti-codon) for a particular amino acid; and 'wobble' base-pairing, i.e. permitting non-standard base-pairing at the 3rd anti-codon position.
Source: Rfam by way of RNAcentral
GGGUUUGUGGCUCAGUGGUAGAGCACUUGCUUAUCAUGUGGGAGGCACUGGGUUUGAUUCACAGCACCA